CCUACGGGAGGCAGCAGUGAGGAAUAUUGGUCAAUGGCCGUAAGGCUGAACCAGCCAAGUAGCGUGAGGGAAGACUGCCCUAUGGGUUGUAAACCUCUUUUAUGCGGGGAUAAAUGUGUCCACGUGUGGAUGUUUGCAGGUACCGCAUGAAUAAGGACCGACUAAUUCCGUGCCAGCAGCCGCGGUAAUACGGAAGGUCCGAGCGUUAUCCGGAUUUAUUUGGGUUAAAGGGAACGUAUGUGGGUUGUUAAGUCAGUUGUGAAAUUUUGCGGCCCAACCGUAAAAUUGCAAUUGAUACUGGCAGUCUUGAGUAAAGUUGAGGUAGGCGGAAUUCGUGGUGUAGCGGUGAAAUGCGUAGAUAUCACGAAGAACCCCGAUUGCGAAGGCAGCUUACUAAGCUGUUACUGACAUUGAGGCUCGAAAGUGUGGGGAUCAAACAGGAUUAGAUACCCGUGUAGUC
This 460-nucleotide ribosomal RNA is filed under the name uncultured bacterium. Its description in RNAcentral is "partial 16S ribosomal RNA". It matches the Rfam family "Bacterial small subunit ribosomal RNA", at positions 338 to 795 of the family's 1533-position model. The record is from RNAcentral.